Long non-coding RNA from Cynoglossus semilaevis (tongue sole), 236 nucleotides. RefSeq lists it as uncharacterized. The transcript is spliced from 3 exons. The record is from RefSeq and is a predicted model, not a curated record. Lineage: Eukaryota; Metazoa; Chordata; Actinopteri; Pleuronectiformes; Cynoglossidae.
CUGGAGCUUGUCGUGGAUCUCGACGCUCAGGCGCCGUCGCGUCUCACGGAAUUCGGCUCGGACAUUUGCUUUCCAUUCAGCUGCAUCAAUAUGUCACUGUCUGCCCUCUCUGGACUCUGUAAAACCACUACAGUCUCCUCACUUUGAACAAUAGCUGCCUGCACUCGAAGCCAGUCUCCGAUCAUGCUGAGGACAGCCGCAAAGUACGCCAAGCCCACCAGGAUCCAGAACCAGAC